AAAGGAAUAGACGGGGGCCCGCACAAGCGGAGGAACAUGUGGUUUAAUUCGAUGAUACGCGAGGAACCUUACCCGGGCUCGAACGGUUUAUGAAGUAUGUAGAGAUAUAUACGUCCUUCGGGACAUAGAUCGAGGUGCUGCAUGGUUGUCGUCAGCUCGUGCCGUGAGGUGUCGGCUUAAGUGCCAUAACGAGCGCAACCCUUGUCAAUAGUUACCAUCAGGCAAAGCUGGGGACUCUAUUGAGACUGCCACCGUAAGGUGUGAGGAAGGGGGGGAUGACGUCAAAUCAGCACGGCCCUUACGUCCGGGGCGACACACGUGUUACAAUGGUGGGUACAGAGGGCAGCUAACUGGCGACAGUAUGCAAAUCUCAAAAACCCAUCUCAGUUCGGAUUGGAGUCUGCAACUCGACUCCAUGAAGUUGGAUUCGCUAGUAAUCGCGCAUCAGCCAUGGCGCGGUGAAUACGUUCCCGGGCCUUGUACACACCGCCCGU
Molecule: ribosomal RNA, 494 nt
Filed under: uncultured bacterium
Lineage: Bacteria
Description: bacterial SSU rRNA
Rfam family: Bacterial small subunit ribosomal RNA
Source: RNAcentral